AGAGCGAACGCUGGCGGCAGGCUUAACACAUGCAAGUCGAGCGGGCGUAGCAAUACGUCAGCGGCAGACGGGUGAGUAACGCGUGGGAACAUACCUCUUGGUUCGGAACAACACAGGGAAACUUGUGCUAAUACCGGAUAAGCCCUUACGGGGAAAGAUUUAUCGCCGAGAGAUUGGCCCGCGUCUGAUUAGCUAGUUGGUAGGGUAAUGGCCUACCAAGGCGACGAUCAGUAGCUGGUCUGAGAGGAUGAUCAGCCACAUUGGGACUGAGACACGGCCCAAACUCCUACGGGAGGCAGCAGUGGGGAAUAUUGGACAAUGGGGGCAACCCUGAUCCAGCCAUGCCGCGUGAGUGAUGAAGGCCCUAGGGUUGUAAAGCUCUUUUGUGCGGGAAGAUAAUGACGGUACCGCAAGAAUAAGCCCCGGCUAACCUUCGCGCCAGCAGCCGC
RNAcentral lists this ribosomal RNA (449 nucleotides) under uncultured bacterium. RNAcentral's name for it is "SSU rRNA". It matches the Rfam family "Bacterial small subunit ribosomal RNA", at positions 26 to 518 of the family's 1533-position model. The record is from RNAcentral.